Symphalangus syndactylus (siamang) is the source of this 2001-nucleotide long non-coding RNA. RefSeq lists it as uncharacterized. Lineage: Eukaryota; Metazoa; Chordata; Mammalia; Primates; Hylobatidae. The record is from RefSeq and is a predicted model, not a curated record.
GCCGGGCCGAUACCGCGGGCGCCCCCUGGUCGUGUGGAGGGCGAUGAGCGAACGACCCUGGACUUUCUGAAUGGGACCCCAGCAAGGCACACGGGGUCUUCAAUGCAAUGGGCGCUUCCAGGGUACGGCGUCCCUUGGGUCCAGAACGUCUUAUACUGUCUCCUGUCACGGCCCCGACAGAAACGGUUUCUGAGGAGUAGAAGUGUCCUAAGUGGAAAUUACAAAUGCCGGAAAGAACCUAGGAAUGGAAAGCAGCCCUCAACUCAGCCCACCAGCACCCGGUUGAAAUAAACAGCCAUGUUGCUCACACAAAGCCUGUUUGGUGAUCUCUUCACAUGGACACAUGAAACAUUUGGUGCCGAAGACCCAAGUCAGUGGGACUCCUUUGGGAGACCAGUCCCCUGCCCUCACCCUCACUCAGUGAAGAGAUCCACCUACGACCUCAGGUCCUCAGACCAACCAGCCCAAGGAAAAUCUCACUGAUUUUAAAUCAGUGAAGUAAUUGAUCAACUCAAUGAAGAACAGAUGAAUGGAUGGAUGGAUAGAUAUAAAUUCUAUUAUUAAGUAAAUUGGGUCCCUCCAAAAUCCAUAUGUUGAAGCCCUAACCCCCAAUAUGACUGUACGUGGAGAUAGGGCCUUUAGGAGGGUAAGUAAAGCUAAAUAAUGUUAUAAGGGUGAGGCCCUAAUCUGGGUGUCCUUAUAAGAAGAAGAAGAGAAACCAAAAUGCACUGCAUGCUCUUUUUCCCUGUGUGCCCAGAUAAGAGACUGGGAGUAGAGGCCUCACCAGAAACCAACCCUGACGACACCUUAAUCUUGGAAUUCCAACCUCCAGAACUGUGACAAAAUUAAUUUGUUGUUUAAGUACCCAGUCUAUGCAUUUAGUUAUGGCCACCAGAACAGAUGACUGCAGAUACUUUGUUGGACAUAUGACUAUUCUAGAUACUGUUUGUGAGUAGAAUGUACGGAGUGAAUCUUAUAUUGCUGCAAAUGCUGUAGUCAGAAGAGUGCUGGACGGAAGUAAGAAAACUCAGGUACAAUCGAGUUCUAGCUCUGCCUCUUCCUGUAGGUGUGAAUAUGACAGUUACUUCACCCCUAUGAGCCCGAGCUCCUUUAUCUGUAAAAGGCUAGAUUCCUUCUCAAGGCCCUCACAGCUCGGGAAUUCUAAUAAUAAAUAUCCAGGAAAUGUCAGUGGGUAUAAAUUAUUACUCAUCAUGCAUUAUUAGUCUUCCUUAGAGAGAACUGUAGGUCUAGCACAUAAGAGUUGAAGUCCCAUACAAUAAUAAGAAAAAUCAUGUAAGAGUUCCUUUAUUUCUGUACUUCUGUGCUUUAUAGACUUGGGAUACAUGUCAGUGUGCCAAGGAGAAAGAAAAACCCCACUACAAAUAGGGCUUUUCUGCAAGAGAGUCAAUUUUUUUUUUUUUUUUUUUGAGACGGAGUCUUGCUCUAUCUCCCAGGCUGGAGUGCAGUGGUGCGAUCUCAGCUCACUGCAAGCUUUGCCUCCUGGGUUCACGCCAUUCUCCUGCCUAAGCCUCCUGAGUAGCUGGGACUACAGGCGCCCACCACCACACCUGGCUAAAUUUUGUAUUUUUAGUAGAGACGGGGUUUCACCGUGGUCUCUAUCUCCUGACCUCGUGAUCUGCCUGCCUCGGCCUCCCAAAGUGCUGGGAUUACAGGCAUGAGCCACCGCACCCUGCCAAGAGGGUCAAUUUUAUAAAGAUUUUGAGAAAGGAAAAUAUAAAGUAAGUAAUGCAAAAUGUGAAUAAAACAGUAAGUUAAAACAUGACAUUCUGAAAAAAGGUUUGGCUUCUGGUGGACAUCUUUGCUCAUCCAUUCAUUCUCUAUUAUUUACUUUCUUUCUCACUGGGGACAUUUUAACAGAAAAAUGUUGUAAUGUACUGCAACAGAUAAAUCUUAUAGGACCUAAUUUGGAUACGGUUUCAGAUUUAUUUGCAAGUAGACUGUAUUCAGAAGUGGAUUCACAGAACAAAAUUAUUCUUUGGC